UCGAGGAUCUUGGACAAUGGGCGAAAGCCUGAUCCAGCGACGCCGCGUGAGGGAUGAAGGUCUUCGGAUUGUAAACCUCUGUCACUUGGGAAAAACGCUUUGAACCUAACACGUUCAAAGUUGAUGGUACCAGGAGAGGAAGGGACGGCUAACUCUGUGCCAGCAGCCGCGGUAAUACAGAGGUCCCAAGCGUUGUUCGGAUUUACUGGGCUUAAAGGGUGCGCAGGCGGUCAGAUAAGUCGGGUGUGAAAUCCCAAGGCUUAACCUUGGAACUGCGCCCGAAACUGUUUGGCUCGAGGAUUGGAGAGGAGACUGGAAUUCACGGUGUAGCGGUGAAAUGCGUAGAUAUCGUGAGGAACACCAAUGGCGAAGGCAGGUCUCUGGACAAUUUCUGACGCUCAUGCACGAAAGCCAGGGGAGCAAACGGGAUUAGAUACCCGCGUAGUCC
RNAcentral lists this ribosomal RNA (448 nucleotides) under uncultured bacterium. RNAcentral describes it as "bacterial SSU rRNA". It matches the Rfam family "Bacterial small subunit ribosomal RNA", at positions 355 to 796 of the family's 1533-position model. The record is from RNAcentral.